AAAAGUUAAUAAGGGCGUACAGUGAAUGCCUUGGCACUAUUUGGCGAAGAAGGACGCGACAACCUGCGAAAAGCUAUGGGGAGCUGGAAGUAAGCAAUGAUCCGUAGAUAUCCGAAUGGGGGAACCCAUCAUCAAUCAAAUGAUGAUAUCCUACCGAUGAAUACAUAGUCGGAGAGAAGUUAGACCUAGGGAAUUGAAACAUCUAAGUACCUAGAGGAGAAGAAAGAUUUAAUCGAUUCCGUAAGUAGCGGCGAGCGAAAGCGGAGGAGCCCAAACCAACGCGAGUUGGGGUUUAGGACUACAGGAGUGAGGAUUUAUUCGAGAAGAAUGGCGUGGGAAAGCCAACCAAAGAGAGUGAUAGUCUCGUAUUUAUAGGAGUGAAUCAAGCUAGUAGCACCAGAGUACGGCGAGGCACGUGAAACCUUGUCUGAAGACGCGCAGACCACUGCGUAAGGCUAAAUACACAAUAGUGACCGAUAGUGAACCAGUACCGUGAGGGAAAGGUGAAAAGAACCCCGGGAGGGGAGUGAAAAGAAUCUGAAACUGUAUGCUUACAAAAAGUCAGAGGGCGUUAAAGCCUGAUGACGUGCCUAUUGAAGAAUGAGCCGGCGAGUUAUGUUAUCGUGCGAGGUUAAGUUGGAGAAACGGAGCCGAAGCGAAAGCGAGUCUGAAUAGGGCUUAAGUACGAUGACAUAGACCCGAAACCCGACGAUCUAGCCAUGAGCAGGAUGAAGGUGGGGUAGAACCCACUGGAGGUCCGAACCGACGUUCGUUGAAACGCCCGCGGAUGACUUGUGGCUCGCGGUGAAAUUCCAAUCGAGUUGGGUUAUAGCUGGUUCUCCCCGAAAUAGCUUUAGGGCUAGCCUCAGAGUAAGCUACCUGCUGGUAGAGCACUGAAUGAUAGAUGGCCGCGUCUAGCGGUACUGAUAUCAAUCAAACUCCGAAUAGUGGGCAAGUAUAUCUGGGAGUCAGUCUGUGGGAGAUAAGUUCCAUGGACAAGAGGAAAAGAGUCCAGACCGCCAAUUAAGGUCCCAAAAUCUAUACUAAGUGUCAAAGGAUGUAGAGAUGCAUAGACAACUAGGAUGUUGGCUCAGAAGCAGCCAUCAUUUAAAGAGUGCGUAACAGCUCACUAGUCGAGUGCCUCCGCGCCGAAAAUUUACCGGGGCUAAGUAUAGUACCGAAGUUGCGGAUUUGAGAAAAUGGUAGGGGAGCGUUCCAUCAUCGGCGAAGCGAUACCGGAAGGAGUCGUGGAGAGGAUGGAAGUGAGAAUGCCGGUGUAAGUAACGAUAUUGGGUGAGAAUCCCAAUCACCAUUAGACUAAGGUUUCCUGGGGAAGGUUCGUCCACCCAGGGUAAGUCGGGACCUAAGGCGAGGCUGAGAAGCGUAGUCGAUGGAUAACAGGUUGAUAUUCCUGUACCCGUAUAUAAGCGAAGUAAUGACAGAGAAGGCUAAGAGAGCUACCUAAUGGAUGGUAGUACAAGCGAAAUAGCAGGUGCAUAGGCAAAUCCGUGCACAGGAUGCAAAGCGUGAUGUGGAGCGAACGAGCAAUCAAGUAGCGAAGGAUCUGAUGCCAGCUUUCAAGAAAAGUUGCUAGCGAUAAUUAUAUGCGGCCCGUACCGAGAACGGACACACGUGGUCAAGGAGAGUAUCCUAAGGUGAGCGAGUGAACUGUUGUUAAGGAACUCUGCAAAAUUACUUCGUAAGUUCGCAAGAAGAAGUGCUACAGCGAUGUAGCCGCAGUGAAGAGGCCCAAGUAACUGUUUAACAAAAACACAGCUUUAUGCUAAGUCGUAAGACGAUGUAUAUGAGGUGAUGCCUGCCCAGUGCUGGAAGGUUAAAAGGAGAUGUGAUAAGCAUUGAUCUGAAGCCCCAGUGAACGGCGGCCGUAACUAUAACGGUCCUAAGGUAGCGAAAUUCCUUGUCAGGUAAAUUCUGACGCGCAUGAAUGGUAUAAUAAUUUGGGCGCUGUCUCGACAGCAGACUCGGUGAAAUCUUAAUACCUGUGAACAUGCAGGUUACCCGCGACUAGACGGAAAGACCCCAUGGAGCUUUACUAUAGCUUAAUAUUGAACAAUUGAAAUUCCUGUACAGGAUAGCCACGAGUUUGAGAGCCUUUUGAAACGGUUAUAGUUGCAAUA
This 2138-nucleotide ribosomal RNA is filed under the name human gut metagenome. RNAcentral's name for it is "bacterial LSU rRNA". It matches the Rfam family "Bacterial large subunit ribosomal RNA", at positions 1 to 2199 of the family's 2925-position model. The record is from RNAcentral.